RNAcentral lists this long non-coding RNA (1716 nucleotides) under Dromaius novaehollandiae (emu). RNAcentral describes it as "lncRNA (ENSDNVG00000000363.1)". The record is from RNAcentral. Lineage: Eukaryota; Metazoa; Chordata; Aves; Casuariiformes; Dromaiidae.
AGCGGCGGCCAAACUCUGCCCCGCUCCCUCGCCCUCCGCGCCCGCCUCGGCGGGAUGCGCGGAGGGAGCGCGCGGGGCGGCGGCCAGGUGCUGCGCGGUCCCCGGUGCGGCCGCCGGCAUCGCGCGGGGGACGAGCCCCAGGCAAAACCUGGAGGACCCAAAGUUAAGCGAGAGCCGGCGCAUCCGCGCAGGCGGCGGGGGUGCGGGCGUCGCAUCGCGGCAGAGGCGAGGCUGGGGCGGCUGCACAUAUUUGGCCUGCGGGGAAAUGGCUUGUACCAGCUCACCUGGUAUCCUAUCUCUUCACUGAAAAGGGAUUGGAAAGGAAGGCUAAAUUCCAUGUAUGUGACGGCAAGUCCCCAACCAACCCCUUUCACAAACAGCCUUUUGCAGAGCUCUUCAGACUUACGGCCCCUCUUGCUUCAUUCUUUGUGCCUCUGUGUCUUUCUGUUUCGUGGGAAGGUUGUUCUUCCAGUGUCGGUGCUCGCCAAGUCUCUCCGCUCGGAGCUCACCCCUGCACGUAAUCCAGCUGACGAGCAGCAGGAGGGUUGUCUUGGUACUCCAGCUCAUCGGCAGUGCAUGAGUCAAAUUAAAUCAACAGCCCGAGCCGCUUGGGGCUGGCACGGCAUCCCGUUUCUCGCGCCGUGGGCGACUCCGAUGCUCUGUGCUCGUGCAACAGCCCAGCGCUCGCGCUCCCGCUCGCUCCCCUUUUCCUGCCACGUCCAAAAUGCGCUGUCAUCCAGCGGCACAUCCCACCUCUUCGCCCUGCCCCCACCCCCAGCCCUCUUUAAAGAGACAAUAUGAUUUCUUUAUCUCCCGGUGCCGGCCCUGCCUGGGGUGUGCAGAGGCACAGAUAACAUUGCCGCUGUCCACCCCAGGGGCUGGUGGGGGCCAGCAGGAUCCCUUUCCCUGACCCGUUGGCUUGCCCCUUCCUUGCUCACGUGAUGCGGAGCAGGGAGCCGGGACCUCUCCUCUCCCCCAAGGCUCAGCAGAUGACAGCCCUGAUUUAUUCCCUGCUAUUCCUCCCCCCGCCACCUCCCCUUAGCGCUCGCUGGUACAGAAGGAUCCUGUCGUCGUUUCCGCUGUGUUAGCAAAUUGUCCUACAACCCUUCAAAGUCCACGGCGGGUGGACGAUUAGGCAAGGCAGUUAAGGAAGGAUCAGCAGGCAGGAACAAACACGCAGCACCUUGGCGAUGUCCGGGCACUACCUUGCUGGCAACGCAGCAGCAACAGGAGGCCCUCGAAGGAGUACACAUGUUUCGCUGGUCUUGGAGGGACCGUGGAGUCUCUUUUUAGAAAGCCCAGUGGGAGAAAGACAAGUUCAAACUGCAGUGCAAAAGCUGACAGAGAAGUGAGGCCAGUCACAAAAGAGCAGUUUAUAGUGUUCCGAGGAAGUUAGGGAGAAACUUGAUUCAUCCCUAAACUGUAAAUGGGUAUUCAGGGUUCCCAUUUCUUUGGGUCGGUUUAUCUAGGUGAAUAAUACAUCUGGCCCCGUAGAUACUUAUAUCUAAAAUACUGGAUACUAAAUAUCCAGUAUUUAUGUAUAAAUUUGAAAUUGCUCUUGCUAAAAUCACAGAAGAAAGAACAAAGUUUUACUACUGCUAACCAAGCAUAUUGAUUGAUACCCACACCCAAUGCCACAGAAAGAUCAUUCCAUUUUCCUUUGGUAUUUCAAGAUGGAAAAAUAAAGCCUGGCAUUUUUCAAUUCUAUGAAGAAGA